RNAcentral lists this transfer RNA (62 nucleotides) under Lentisphaeria bacterium. RNAcentral's name for it is "tRNA-Met". It matches the Rfam family "tRNA", at positions 9 to 63 of the family's 71-position model. From Rfam's summary of the family: Transfer RNA (tRNA) molecules are approximately 80 nucleotides in length. Their secondary structure includes four short double-helical elements and three loops (D, anti-codon, and T loops). The record is from RNAcentral. Lineage: Bacteria; Pseudomonadati; Lentisphaerota; Lentisphaeria.
GGCAGAAAGGUACGUGCGUCAGGCUCAUAACCUGAAGGUCGCUGGUUCAAAUCCAGCCCUCA